ACGAACGCUGGCGGCAUGCCUAACACAUGCAAGUCGAACGAGACCUUCGGGUCUAGUGGCGCACGGGCGCGUAACGCGUGGGAAUCUGCCCUUAGGUUCGGAACAACCGCGGGAAACUGCGGCUGAUACCGGAUGAUGUCUUCGGACCAAAGAUUUAUCGCCUUUGGAGGGGCCCGCGUCGGAUUAGGUAGUUGGUGAGGUAACGGCUCACCAAGCCUGCGAUCCGUAGCUGGUCUGAGAGGAUGACCAGCCACACUGGGACUGAGACACGGCCCAGACUCCUACGGGAGGCAGCAGUGGGGAGUAUUGGACAAUGGGGGCAACCCUGAUCCAGCAAUGCCGCGUGGGUGAUGAAGGCCUUCGGGUUGUAAAGCCCUUUCGGCGGGGACGAUGAUGACGGUACCCGCAGAAGAAGCCCCGGCUAACUUCGU
RNAcentral lists this ribosomal RNA (431 nucleotides) under uncultured bacterium. RNAcentral describes it as "partial 16S ribosomal RNA". It matches the Rfam family "Bacterial small subunit ribosomal RNA", at positions 29 to 506 of the family's 1533-position model. The record is from RNAcentral.